RNAcentral lists this transfer RNA (65 nucleotides) under Creobroter elongata. Its description in RNAcentral is "tRNA-Ala". It matches the Rfam family "tRNA". Rfam says of the family: Transfer RNA (tRNA) molecules are approximately 80 nucleotides in length. Their secondary structure includes four short double-helical elements and three loops (D, anti-codon, and T loops). Lineage: Eukaryota; Metazoa; Arthropoda; Insecta; Mantodea; Hymenopodidae. The record is from RNAcentral.
GGGGUUGUAGUUAAGAAUAACAUUUGAUUUGCAUUCAAAAAGUAUUGAAUUGUCAAUCUUCCUUU